GACAAAUGCACUGCAUUUAUUCUAAGGCGCUUAUAAAACCUGAAAGCAAGCGUUUUGAUACGCGACUCGUAUGUUGACAUAAGACAUUUUCAAAGAAAAUGGGUGUUAUAGAUUUCACGACAAGUUUAUGGAGGGAUCCAUACAGAUGGUCUCUGGUCAAGAGCGUUGCACUAUUCAGUCUUGCAGUGUUCAUUGCACAUGAGUUUGAGGCAGCUGAACUUGAGGCUGCGGCAGAGACUGCAGCCAAACUUGGGAGCAGAUGAUGAUGCAGGAACUCAUCCUAAUGAAGCUUUUGGAUGUCGAUGAACGGAUGAAAGAAGGAAGAUAGCUAAUUAAUGAUGUUUUAGUAUAUUUUUUUUAUACUGCAUACAUAAGUACAUUAAACAAAUGAUCUUUUUCAACACAAAA
This is a long non-coding RNA of Dreissena polymorpha, 408 nucleotides long. RefSeq lists it as uncharacterized. The record is from RefSeq and is a predicted model, not a curated record. The transcript is spliced from 3 exons. NCBI's taxonomy places the organism in Eukaryota, Metazoa, Mollusca, Bivalvia, Myida, Dreissenidae.